UACGGAGGGUGCGAGCGUUAAUCGGAAUUACUGGGCGUAAAGCGCACGCAGGUGGUUGGGUAAGUCGGAUGUGAAAGCCCUGGGCUCAACCUGGGAACUGCAUUCGAUACUGCCCGGCUAGAGUAUGGGAGAGGGAAGCGGAAUUUCCGGUGUAGCGGUGAAAUGCGUAGAUAUCGGAAGGAACACCAAUGGCGAAGGCAGCUUCCUGGCCCAAUACUGACGCUCAGGUGCGAAAGCGUGGGGAUCAAACAGG
This 253-nucleotide ribosomal RNA is filed under the name uncultured bacterium. Its description in RNAcentral is "partial 16S ribosomal RNA". It matches the Rfam family "Bacterial small subunit ribosomal RNA", at positions 524 to 776 of the family's 1533-position model. The record is from RNAcentral.